This is a non-coding RNA of Tetranychus urticae (two-spotted spider mite), 3786 nucleotides long. The record is from RefSeq and is a predicted model, not a curated record. NCBI's taxonomy places the organism in Eukaryota, Metazoa, Arthropoda, Arachnida, Trombidiformes, Tetranychidae.
UGAAUGAGUUUUGUUUUAAAUUUAAAUUUUGGUGCAAUUUCAAUAUCGUUCUGCCAUCUAUUGGUGAAAGGUUUAGUUGUUGAAAGUUUACGGUAAUGAGGGUAAAGGUUAAUGGAUAAUCUCAUUAUUUGGUUAAAUUAUGAGUUUCAAUGGGUUUCUAUUAAUCUUUUAGCAGUUUUUUCGGUUCAAGUGUUGGCUGGUUAAAUAAUUUAUUAUGUCGUUUGUGGUUAACCAGAUUAAUUUACAAUUAGUUUGCCAGUUUCCGCCAUUUUACGCCCUUCUUUACCUUCUUUCCCUCCAAAACUCUAUUUUAUUGAUAUUUCAAUGGUUUUAUUUUAUUUCUGGGCCUCUCAACUCUUUUUAUAAUCAUCAUGGUAACUAUUAUUUCUUCAAUUGAAUCAACAUAGUGAAUCUUUUCGAUAAUUACAAUGGCUGGUUAAACGUUGAACUCAUUUUGUGUCCUUCAUUUAUUCAAGAAAUGGCCAAUCCUUGUUGGAACUUAUUUUCUCACUGUCUUGGUCCCUGGGUUACAUCCUAAUUUAACUAGCCACCAACCAACACCAAUUAAGUCAACACUGAUGAAACAACACAGUGAAACCAUUUUGGGAUACCAUUUGCACUUUACCUUUAUUUUUACUUCUCCAAAAGGUUUUAUUGUCACUGGCGUUUUUGUGUUAUCUGUUUAAACAAGCUCAAAGAUUGAUGACCAUUGCUAAUUUAUCCUUAAAUUGGUCACUGACUCUUUACCUCUUUAUUUCUUUAUCCUUCAUCUACUGACCAGAAGGAAAAAAGUUGAGAAAACAAAAAAAAAGAAGGAGAUGGAAAAAAGGAAACCUGAAUCAAAUGGUCUUAACUUCGUACCGCUCUGCAUGGUGUCUUCUGCUUCUUCUGCUUUCUUCCUCAUCAUUUCUGGUCUUCUUUCCUGUGGUCCUUUUACCUUACAUUUUAUCUUACUUUUUUUUCCAGAGUAUCCAGGGAAGAAAGUAAACUAUGUUGAUCAGGAUGACAUUGACACUAAGGAAUCAUUAAUUUAACCCGUCAAGAUGAUGUAUUGUUUCUAGCAGAUGAAUGUGAAUCCCAUAGAGAACCAGAAAAGGCUUGCUUAAUUUUCAAUUGACUUGAUUAGUCUUGUUAAUUUACAUUUCAUCUUUGUCAACAAGAAAAGUUACUUCAUGAUAAGAGGAUUAAACAUUAUGUUUUUAUCAGAAUGGCCGAUCAAAUAACCAAAUCAGAUAUUCAAUGUUCAAUCUCACCGUAAAUAUGUUUCAAUACACUUGAAAUGAGCACGACAAAAAAGGGAAAAAAUGGAAUCCAAAAUUAAUAAUUUUAAAAAAGGCAAACGACAUGUUUUAUUAAUUGUCACUGUGACAUUAAAACAUUGAUUGAUACUCUCAUAAUCAGCGAUAAAGUCCACCAUUUAAUUCGCUACAAUUUUGAAACCUCUUAAAAUUGAACAUCAUUAAGCAACUAGUAAUGAUUGUUUGUCUCUACAAAAUUACAUUUAACUAAUCUUUGCCAUUAAUUAUCCUUGUAUUACCAUUGUUACUACCAUGUUAAUGAUUCCUAAUCAUUUUCACAGCAACAAUUUAACUCGAUAAGUUUACAUUUUAAGCUUUCCCUAGCUUUUACACAGAAAAUGUAAUCUUAGAUUCUCAAAUGUCUCAACAAUUUAAAUACAUUAAGCCUUAAAUAAUGGACGCCAUUUAGCUGAACCUUUCAACCGGCAGUUAAAAUUAUCAAAUGUAACUCAAAAGCUUAUUGAAUUACAAUGAAAAUGUUUGCCAACAAAAAGCAUUUGAUGCUCAAUUCCCAAAGUCAACUGUUUCACAAUUAAAACCCAAAUGUGCAAAGCCAAACCAGGAGAAGGGUUACAACCAUCAGCUGUACCAUUGGACCGGUUUCCUUGUAAUUCAAUGAAACAUUUACGCCAGAAAAUGGAAUCUCAAUUUUACGCUUUUCAAAUUAUUCAAUGUUUCACCUUUAAAGGCUGUUAAUAACCUGUUAACUAAUUUACAUCUCAUCAUAAAUUGUAAUUACACAUGGGCAGUGUUACACUUGAUUAACUAAACUAAAUGCUUGUGGCCAAAAGGUGUGCAAAGGAGAGUAAAAAUGAACAACAAUAAUGGCAAGGUGAACAAUCAAAAAAGGAAGCAAACGAGGAAACCAGCAAAAAAGCAAAGGGUUAACCAUAUUAAUCCAUUGGAAUGGUUUAAUAGUGCAAUAAAAGGACCAAAUUAAAUGCAUUUUUGAUAAUCUCAUGACAAAAGGAUAAGCCAGUUAACAAGUCAAUGGUACUUUUGCGAGGUGAAAAAAGGUGAUUAAUAGUGGAGAGACAUUUGGCUGACCAGUUGGGUGAGAGUUGGGUGAAGAUGAGGGUAAUGAUGAAGGAGAUGCUGAUGGGCAUUUGAAGGGUAAAGUAAAGGUUAAAUUAAUAUUGUUACAAUAUCAGGGCGAGUUGGAUAAGCAGAAGAGUGAAAACAAAGCAGAAAAGCACUGAACCCUAGGAAGUCAUCGACGGGGAUUCUGACCAUCAACGUGGGCUUUGGUCAAAUCUUUUCACAUUUUCAUCAUUUCUGUUGAACAUCUUUACAUUAAAUUGGUUUACAAUCAAACCUGACAGGGGUCUUGAGUCCAGUUUUGUAACUGCGAGUAAAGUACAAGAUUAAAGAUGAAAAAUAAUUAAAGAAUCUUGGAAAUGAGGAAAAGUUGAGGAAAAAAAUUGAAUGUCGCUCGUUGUUUCAUGGCAUUAAUGUUUCAUCCUGAUCAUCAUCUUGAACAGCAAUCUAAUGUUGAUCUUGUUUCUUCAAUGACUCUCAUUGAGACUGACAACCAUUAGAAGAUGCCUUUUUCAUUAACUUGGAUUGUUAACAAUCUUUGAACAACAUUUACUUCUUUAACCAAUUUAUCAAUUUUUAUUUACAUCUUUCCUCCAACAUUAACAUUUUUCUUGUCCCAUCUUCAUCUUUCCUCAAUCAUCAUCAUUACCAUCAUUCAUGAUGAUUACCUUUCCGCCAGAUUUUUCGUUUUCUUUGGCGUUUCUCCAUUUCUCUUCUUUUUUCAAUUUUCCAUCUCUUCCCUUAUCCUCAUCAUUAUCACAUCAUCAUUUUGUGUCUCUUUAUAUAACCAUGUAAUACAUGUGAUAACUUUCACAUACUUGUAUGUCUAAUAAGCUUCUCAGAGGGUUUAAGUUAAGCUUCAACUGAUUUCAGAAACCAUUUUUGUUCAUCUUCUUUUCCAUUCUGACAAUGAAAUUGAAAUUGAAAUGAAAAUGGAUAUUUUCAUAUUAUUUUAUGAAUAUAUUAUCACGUAACAACUGAAUAAAUCUCUUGUUGAUCCUUAAAUAAUAAAUUGGCGAAAAGUGAAUCUAAAAUUUUGAUAUUCAAAGGAAAAAUAUACUUUAUAUAUUUACUUUUCUCCUUUUUUUUCUUCUUCUUCUUCAAUCUUUUCUUUUAACACCAAAAAAAGAUGAAUUUACAUGACGAUGAAUCUCAUGUCAAUCUUAUCGUUCAAACAAAAUUGGCAAAAUUUUGGAUAUUUGUUCCAAUCUUGAACUUUCCAUUAUUAAAAAGUUCAAUGUCAAUCAUGCAAAGUUUCACUCAAUCUUUUACUUGCACUUUGAAAACAAUUUUCAUAAUCAUCUGAUCAUGGAGUUAUUGGGUUCAAUAAAAUGUUUCACCAUUUAAUCCCAUCAUUGUUAUCAAGUUUACCUUAAAAAGCUAAUCCAAUUGAAACCUUUGUCCAAACCAGUCGUGUCUUUGUAUUGUAAACAUUAAUCUCAUUUUGUAA